GACGAACGCUGGCGGCGUGCUUAACACGUGCAAGUCGAACGGAAAGGCCCUGCUUGCAGGGUACUCGAGUGGCGAACGGGUGAGUAACACGUGGGUGAUCUGCCCUGUACUUCGGGAUAAGCCUGGGAAACUGGGUCUAAUACCGGAUAGGAGCCAUUUUUUGUGUGAUGGUUGGAAAGUUUUUUCGGUGUAGGAUGAGUUCGCGGCCUAUUAGCUUGUUGGUGGGGUAAUGGCCUACAAACGCGGCGACGGGUAGCCGGCCUGGGAGGGUGGACGGCCACAUAGGGACUGAAAUACGGCCCCGCUUCCUACGGGAGGCAGCAGUGGGGAAGAUUGCACAAUGGGCGCAACCCUGAUGCAGCGACGCCGCGUGGGGGAUGACGGCCUUCUGGUGGAAAACUCCUUUCGCUAGGGACGAAGCUUUUUGUGACGGUACCUAGAUAAGAAGCACCGGCUAACUACGUG
Molecule: ribosomal RNA, 465 nt
Filed under: uncultured bacterium
Lineage: Bacteria
Description: partial 16S ribosomal RNA
Rfam family: Bacterial small subunit ribosomal RNA
Source: RNAcentral